This 434-nucleotide ribosomal RNA is filed under the name uncultured Lachnospiraceae bacterium. RNAcentral describes it as "bacterial SSU rRNA". It matches the Rfam family "Bacterial small subunit ribosomal RNA", at positions 341 to 792 of the family's 1533-position model. The record is from RNAcentral. Lineage: Bacteria; Bacillati; Bacillota; Clostridia; Lachnospirales; Lachnospiraceae.
ACGGAAGGCAGCAGUGGGGAAUAUUGCACAAUGGGGGAAACCCUGAUGCAGCAACGCCGCGUGAGUGAAGAAGUAUUUCGGUAUGUAAAGCUCUAUCAGCAGGGAAGAUAAUGACGGUACCUGACUAAGAAGCUCCGGCUAAAUACGUGCCAGCAGCCGCGGUAAUACGUAUGGAGCAAGCGUUAUCCGGAUUUACUGGGUGUAAAGGGUGUGUAGGUGGCACUGCAAGUCAGAUGUGAAAGACCGGGGCUCAACCCCGGGGCUGCAUUCGAAACUGCGGGGCUGGAGUGCAGGAGAGGCAAGCGGAAUUCCUAGUGUAGCGGUGAAAUGCGUAGAUAUUAGGAGGAACACCAGUGGCGAAGGCGGCUUGCUGGACUGAUACUGACGUUGAGGCUCGAAAGCGUGGGGAGCAAACAGGAUUAGAUACCCUGGUA